Molecule: ribosomal RNA, 253 nt
Filed under: uncultured bacterium
Lineage: Bacteria
Description: partial 16S ribosomal RNA
Rfam family: Bacterial small subunit ribosomal RNA
Source: RNAcentral
GACAGAGGGUGCAAACGUUGUUCGGAAUUACUGGGCGUAAAGCGCGUGUAGGCGGCUAAGUAAGUCGGGCGUGAAAUCCCACGGCUCAACCGUGGAAGUGCACUCGAAACUGCAUAGCUAGAGUCCUGGAGAGGAAGGUGGAAUGCUUGGUGUAGAGGUGAAAUUCGUAGAUAUCAAGCGGAACACCGGUGGCGAAGGCGGGUCUCUGGGCCGAUACUGACGCUGAGGCACGAAAGCGUGGGGAGCAAACAGG